This 302-nucleotide ribosomal RNA is filed under the name uncultured bacterium. RNAcentral's name for it is "partial 16S ribosomal RNA". It matches the Rfam family "Bacterial small subunit ribosomal RNA", at positions 508 to 807 of the family's 1533-position model. The record is from RNAcentral.
GCAGCCGCCGCGGUAAUACGGAGGGUGCAAGCGUUAAUCGGAAUUACUGGGCGUAAAGCGCACGCAGGCGGUCUGACAAGUCAGAUGUGAAAUCCCCGGGCUUAACCUGGGAACUGCAUUUGAAACUGUCAGGCUGGAGUCUUGUAGAGGGGGGUGGAAUUCCAGGUGUAGCGGUGAAAUGCGUAGAGAUCUGGAGGAAUACCGGUGGCGAAGGCGGCCCCCUGGACAAAGACUGACGCUCAGGUGCGAAAGCGUGGGGAGCAAACAGGAUUAGAUACCCGAGUAGUCCCUGUCUCUUAUAC